UCAAGACAUAAAAUCUAUUUAAAUAAUAAAAGCUACUGCUUCAAACUUAAAGAACAUGGCGGUGUCUUAUAAAUUCAGGGGAACCUGUUCCUUAAUUUGAUAAUCCACACACCCCCCAACCAAGCUUCACUAAGCCUGUAUACUGCUGUCGUCAGCAAGCCUAAAUCAAAGCUUGCAAACAACUAAACGUCAAGUCAAAGUGCAGCUAAUAGCUUGGAGAGAAAUGGGUUACAACCUAAAAACAGAUACUUAUUAAUAAACUAAACCAAAGGUGAACUUGACAGUAAUAUCACCCAAUAUAAACAUUUAUCUAAGACAUGUACACAUCGCCCGUCACUCCCAUAAAAAUG
This 350-nucleotide ribosomal RNA is filed under the name Marionina cf. nevisensis PDW-2010. RNAcentral's name for it is "partial 12S ribosomal RNA". Lineage: Eukaryota; Metazoa; Annelida; Clitellata; Enchytraeida; Enchytraeidae. The record is from RNAcentral.